Molecule: ribosomal RNA, 274 nt
Filed under: uncultured bacterium
Lineage: Bacteria
Description: partial 16S ribosomal RNA
Rfam family: Bacterial small subunit ribosomal RNA
Source: RNAcentral
AUACGGGGGGGACAAGCGUUGUUCGGAUUCACUGGGCGUAAAGGGUGCGCAGGCGGGCCACCAAGUCGGGUGUGAAAACUGGCGGCUCAACCGCCAGCCGGCACUCGAUACUGGUGGUCUUGAGUACGGGAGAGGAGAGUGGAAUUCCAGGUGUAGCGGUGAAAUGCGUAGAUAUCUGGAAGAAAACCGGUGGCGAAGGCGGCUCUCUGGCCCGAUACUGACGCUCAGGCACGAAGGCUUGGGGAGCAAACAGGAUUAGAUACCCUAGUAGUCC